UACGUAGGGCGCAAGCGUUGUCCGGAAUUAUUGGGCGUAAAGAGCUCGUAGGCGGUCUGUCACGUCUGCUGUGAAAACCCGGGGCUUAACCCCGGGCUUGCAGUGGAUACGGGCAGACUAGAGGCAGGUAGGGGAGAAUGGAAUUCCCGGUGUAGCGGUGAAAUGCGCAGAUAUCGGGAGGAACACCGGUGGCGAAGGCGGUUCUCUGGGCCUGUUCUGACGCUGAGGAGCGAAAGCGUGGGGAGCAAACAGG
This 253-nucleotide ribosomal RNA is filed under the name uncultured bacterium. Its description in RNAcentral is "partial 16S ribosomal RNA". It matches the Rfam family "Bacterial small subunit ribosomal RNA", at positions 524 to 776 of the family's 1533-position model. The record is from RNAcentral.